UAAGAUGGUUUGACCUCGGAUCAGGUAGGGUUACCCGCUGAACUUAAGCAUAUCAAUAAGCGGAGGAAAAAAAACCAACCA
This 81-nucleotide ribosomal RNA is filed under the name Scedosporium aurantiacum. RNAcentral's name for it is "partial 28S ribosomal RNA". The stretch from base 11 to 81 matches the Rfam family "Eukaryotic large subunit ribosomal RNA", at positions 1 to 71 of the family's 3401-position model. Lineage: Eukaryota; Fungi; Ascomycota; Sordariomycetes; Microascales; Microascaceae. The record is from RNAcentral.